AUUUUAGAGAUGUGCUUUGUCCAGUGCAAAUCACUGCUGACAGUAAUGCCCAGGUUACAUUCACAAGAAGGCUUCUUGAUAUUAGUGUUGUGGAGAGAGUAUGUGGAUGCUGGGUUUUUCCUCCCAAAAUGCAUUGUGGUACAGUUGUCCACAGACUACUAAGUUUGAGAUGAGAAUGUUUCCUUUUUAUAUG
Octopus sinensis (East Asian common octopus) is the source of this 193-nucleotide long non-coding RNA. RefSeq lists it as uncharacterized. The record is from RefSeq and is a predicted model, not a curated record. Lineage: Eukaryota; Metazoa; Mollusca; Cephalopoda; Octopoda; Octopodidae. The transcript is spliced from 4 exons.